RNAcentral lists this ribosomal RNA (253 nucleotides) under uncultured Zavarzinella sp. Its description in RNAcentral is "partial 16S ribosomal RNA". It matches the Rfam family "Bacterial small subunit ribosomal RNA", at positions 524 to 776 of the family's 1533-position model. Lineage: Bacteria; Pseudomonadati; Planctomycetota; Planctomycetia; Gemmatales; Gemmataceae. The record is from RNAcentral.
GACGAACCGUGCGAACGUUGUUCGGAAUCACUGGGCUUAAAGGGCGCGUAGGCGGGCUCGCAAGUCUGUGGUGAAAUCCCCCGGCUCAACCGGGGAACGGCCGCGGAUACUGCGGGCCUCGAGCGGGGUAGGGGCGUGCGGAACGCUGGGUGGAGCGGUGAAAUGCGUUGAUAUCCAGCGGAACUCCGGUGGCGAAGGCGGCACGCUGGACCCCUCCUGACGCUGAGGCGCGAAAGCCAGGGGAGCGAACGGG